AUGGCUCAGCCUGAGGACAGGAUCAUCGCCGGCGUCUUCAUCGGCAUCGUGGCCUCCCUGCUCGUGUCCAUCAUCGUGUGCAGCCUGUGCCGGGGCCACCGCAACGGCGCCGCGGCGGCCGCCCGGGCGCGGCCACUGCCGGAGCGUGGUACAGUCACCACUACCGUGCGCGUCGACCAGCGGCAGCUUCGCCAGGCCUGCGCCGCCGGCGCGACGGCCGGUCUCCCGGCGUUCACGUACAGCCUGUCGGUGAAGCACAACGUGACGGGCGGAGGGGAGGAGGCGGCGACGUGCUCGGUGUGCCUCGGUGCGCUGCAGCUAGGAGACACGGUGCGGCUGCUGCCGGCGUGCCUGCACGUGUACCACGCGGAGUGCAUCGACCCGUGGCUGGGCGCGCACUCGACGUGCCCGAUCUGCCGCUCCGACACUGACCCGGCCACGGGCGUUGGCCGGCUACCACCUGCUUAG
RNAcentral lists this ribosomal RNA (468 nucleotides) under Triticum aestivum (bread wheat). RNAcentral's name for it is "partial small subunit ribosomal RNA". Lineage: Eukaryota; Viridiplantae; Streptophyta; Magnoliopsida; Poales; Poaceae. The record is from RNAcentral.